This 1344-nucleotide ribosomal RNA is filed under the name uncultured bacterium. RNAcentral describes it as "16S ribosomal RNA". It matches the Rfam family "Bacterial small subunit ribosomal RNA", at positions 28 to 1378 of the family's 1533-position model. The record is from RNAcentral.
GACGAACGCUGGCGGCGUGCUUAACACAUGCAAGUCGAACGGAAAGGCCCUGCUUUUGUGGGGUGCUCGAGUGGCGAACGGGUGAGUAACACGUGAGUAACCUGCCCUUGACUUUGGGAUAACUUCAGGAAACUGGGGCUAAUACCGGAUAGGAGCUCCUGCUGCAUGGUGGGGGUUGGAAAGUUUCGGCGGUUGGGGAUGGACUCGCGGCUUAUCAGCUUGUUGGUGGGGUAGUGGCUUACCAAGGCUUUGACGGGUAGCCGGCCUGAGAGGGUGACCGGCCACAUUGGGACUGAGAUACGGCCCAGACUCCUACGGGAGGCAGCAGUGGGGAAUAUUGCACAAUGGGCGGAAGCCUGAUGCAGCAACGCCGCGUGCGGGAUGACGGCCUUCGGGUUGUAAACCGCUUUCGCCUGUGACGAAGCGUGAGUGACGGUAAUGGGUAAAGAAGCACCGGCUAACUACGUGCCAGCAGCCGCGGUGAUACGUAGGGUGCGAGCGUUGUCCGGAUUUAUUGGGCGUAAAGGGCUCGUAGGUGGUUGAUCGCGUCGGAAGUGUAAUCUUGGGGCUUAACCCUGAGCGUGCUUUCGAUACGGGUUGACUUGAGGAAAGGUAGGGGAGAAUGGAAUUCCUGGUGGAGCGGUGGAAUGCGCAGAUAUCAGGAGGAACACCAGUGGCGAAGGCGGUUCUCUGGGCCUUUCCUGACGCUGAGGAGCGAAAGCGUGGGGAGCGAACAGGCUUAGAUACCCUGGUAGUCCACGCUGUAAACGGUGGGUACUAGGUGUGGGGUCCAUUCCACGGGUUCCGUGCCGUAGCUAACGCUUUAAGUACCCCGCCUGGGGAGUACGGCCGCAAGGCUAAAACUCAAAGGAAUUGACGGGGCCCCGCACAAGCGGCGGAGCAUGCGGAUUAAUUCGAUGCAACGCGUAGAACCUUACCUGGGUUUGACAUGGAUCGGGAGCGCUCAGAGAUGGGUGUGCCUCUUUUGGGGUCGGUUCACAGGUGGUGCAUGGCUGUCGUCAGCUCGUGUCGUGAGAUGUUGGGUUAAGUCCCGCAACGAGCGCAACCCUUGUUCACUGUUGCCAGCACGUUAUGGUGGGGACUCAGUGGAGACCGCCGGGGUCAACUCGGAGGAAGGUGGGGAUGACGUCAAGUCAUCAUGCCCCUUAUGUCCAGGGCUUCACGCAUGCUACAAUGGCUGGUACAGAGAGUGGCGAGCCUGUGAGGGUGAGCGAAUCUCGGAAAGCCGGUCUCAGUUCGGAUUGGGGUCUGCAACUCGACCUCAUGAAGUCGGAGUCGCUAGUAAUCGCAGAUCAGCAACGCUGCGGUGAAUACGUUCCCGGG